GGGUCAGUAGGUUGGUCGUGCCACCGGUACGUACUGGCCUCACUGAUUCCUCCUUCCCGAAGAACCGUAAUGCCAUUAAUUUGGUGUUGCGGGGAAACAGGACUGUUACUUUGAAAAAAUUAGAGUGUUUAAAGCAAGCUAACGCUUGAAUACAUUAGCAUGGAAUAAUGAAAUAGGACGAUCGAUCCUAUUUUGUUGGUUUCUAGGAUUGACGUA
Molecule: ribosomal RNA, 216 nt
Filed under: Glomeromycotina sp.
Lineage: Eukaryota; Fungi; Glomeromycota
Description: partial small subunit ribosomal RNA
Rfam family: Eukaryotic small subunit ribosomal RNA (bases 75-216)
Source: RNAcentral